RNAcentral lists this ribosomal RNA (199 nucleotides) under uncultured Geobacillus sp. RNAcentral describes it as "partial 16S ribosomal RNA". It matches the Rfam family "Bacterial small subunit ribosomal RNA", at positions 337 to 529 of the family's 1533-position model. Lineage: Bacteria; Bacillati; Bacillota; Bacilli; Caryophanales; Anoxybacillaceae. The record is from RNAcentral.
UCCUACGGGAGGCAGCAGUAGGGAAUCUUCCGCAAUGGGCGAAAGCCUGACGGAGCGACGCCGCGUGAGCGAAGAAGGCCUUCGGGUCGUAAAGCUCUGUUGUGAGGGACGAAGGAGCGCCGUUGAAGAAGGCGGCGCGGUGACGGUACCUCACGAGAAAGCCCCGGCUAACUACGUGCCAGCAGCCGCGGUAAUAGAA